Molecule: transfer RNA, 58 nt
Filed under: Marchesinia languida
Lineage: Eukaryota; Viridiplantae; Streptophyta; Jungermanniopsida; Porellales; Lejeuneaceae
Description: partial tRNA-Leu
Source: RNAcentral
ACGGACUAAAAUCCGUUGGCUUUAAUAGACCUUGAGGGUUCAAGUCCCUCUACCCCCA